GGGGAUGUUUUAAUUCGCCGGUUAAAUAUCGAAUUUCCGGAGCAAUCGGUGUUUGGUCUAACACACCUAAAUAAAUAGCCAACAAAUAUAAAUGCCAACAAUAUCUUGGCUAAGGUUAAAUCAGCUUUUAACUUGAUGCAACCGGCUUUCGUUGCUGCCUAAUACUGGCCGCGACCGUUUCCCCUGAUCGCUCAUUGUUGGGGUUAGGAAGCGUCAUGAAGAUGAGUUGCUUUCAUCCUUCUUUCCUCAAGGAGGCUGAACUAAGACAAUUGAGGAUCUUACAAAGGUAUAAGUUGUUUGUUAAUUUCCUUUGCGAGAAACAAACUAACAAACUAUGAUUGUAGCGCUAGAAAUUCUCUAUUAAUCGCACGUGGGCGCACUACCCACCAUCUCCACCA
RNAcentral lists this transfer-messenger RNA (398 nucleotides) under Candidatus Komeilibacteria bacterium CG_4_10_14_0_2_um_filter_37_10. It matches the Rfam family "transfer-messenger RNA". Rfam says of the family: Bacterial tmRNA, also known as 10Sa RNA or SsrA, is named for its dual tRNA and mRNA-like properties. Its role is to liberate the mRNA from a stalled ribosome. To accomplish this part of the tmRNA is used as a reading frame that ends in a translation stop signal. RNAcentral also lists the same sequence under 1 other name. Lineage: Bacteria; Candidatus Komeiliibacteriota. The record is from RNAcentral.